RNAcentral lists this ribosomal RNA (121 nucleotides) under Sinocyclocheilus anshuiensis. The record is from RNAcentral. Lineage: Eukaryota; Metazoa; Chordata; Actinopteri; Cypriniformes; Cyprinidae.
CAUGGCAGCCAUAUCACCCUGUAGCCCAAGACUGGUUGGUUACCUACUGAAGCUAAGCAGGGCUGAGCCUCGUCAGUACCUGGAUGGGAGACCUCCUGGGAAAACUAGGUUGCUGCUGGAA